RNAcentral lists this ribosomal RNA (504 nucleotides) under uncultured bacterium. Its description in RNAcentral is "partial 16S ribosomal RNA". It matches the Rfam family "Bacterial small subunit ribosomal RNA", at positions 30 to 523 of the family's 1533-position model. The record is from RNAcentral.
AUUGAACGCUGGCGGCAUGCCUUACACAUGCAAGUCGAACGGCAGCAUGGAGAGCUUGCUCUCUGAUGGCGAGUGGCGAGCGGGUGAGUAAUGCAUCGGAACGUACCGUGUAAUGGGGGAUAACGUAGCGAAAGUUACGCUAAUACUGCAUACGACCUGAGGAUGAAAGCAGGGGAUCGCAAGACCUUGCGUUAUACGAGCGGCCGAUGUCAGAUUAGCUAGUUGGUGAGGUAAAGGCUCACCAAGGCGACGAUCUGUAGCGGGUCUGAGAGGAUGAUCCGCCACACUGGGACUGAGACACGGCCCAGACUCCUACGGGAGGCAGCAGUGGGGAAUUUUGGACAAUGGGGGCAACCCUGAUCCAGCCAUGCCGCGUGAGUGAAGAAGGCCUUCGGGUUGUAAAGCUCUUUCGGCCGGGAAGAAAUCGCACAGGCUAAUACUCUGUGUGGAUGACGGUACCGGCAUAAGAAGCACCGGCUAACUACGUGCCAGCCGCCGCAGUAA